AUUGAACGCUGGCGGCAUGCUUUACACAUGCGAGUCGAACGGUAACAGGCCGCAAGGUGCUGACGAGUGGCGCACGGGUGAGUAAUACAUCGGAACGUGCCCAGUCGUUGGGGAUAACUACUCGAAAGAGUAGCUAAUACCGCAUACGAUCUAUGGAUGAAAGCGGGGUACUGUAAGGCCUCGCGCGAUUUGAGCGGCCGAUGUCAGAUUAGGUAGUUGGUGGGGUAAAGGCUCACCAAGCCAACGAUCUGUAGCUGGUCUGAGAGGACGACCAGCCACACUGGGACUGAGACACGGCCCAGACUCCUACGGGAGGCAGCAGUGGGGAAUUUUGGACAAUGGGCGCAAGCCUGAUCCAGCAAUGCCGCGUGCAGGAAGAAGGCCUUCGGGUUGUAAACUGCUUUUGUACGGAAAGAAACGGCUCUGGUUAAUACCCGGGGCUAAUGACGGUACCGUAAGAAUAAGCACCGGCUAACUACGUG
This 482-nucleotide ribosomal RNA is filed under the name uncultured bacterium. RNAcentral's name for it is "partial 16S ribosomal RNA". It matches the Rfam family "Bacterial small subunit ribosomal RNA", at positions 30 to 507 of the family's 1533-position model. The record is from RNAcentral.